RNAcentral lists this ribosomal RNA (699 nucleotides) under uncultured organism. RNAcentral's name for it is "bacterial SSU rRNA". It matches the Rfam family "Bacterial small subunit ribosomal RNA", at positions 96 to 826 of the family's 1533-position model. The record is from RNAcentral.
UGGCAGACGGCUGAGUAAUACAUGGGAAUCUACCUCAAACUCGAGAAUAGCCCAUCGAAAGGUGGUGUAAUACUCGAUAGUUCCGUUUACGGUAAAGCUCCGGCGGUUUGAGAUGAGCCCAUGUCCUAUCAGGUUGUUGGUAGGGUAAUUGCCUACCAAGCCUAUGACGGGUAGCUGGUUUGAGAGGAUGAUCAGCCAGACUGGGACUGCGAUACGGCCCAGACUCCUACGGGAGGCAGCAACUAGGAAUCAUGCGCAAUGGACGAAAGUCUGACGCUGCGACGUCGCGUGAGGGAUGAAGGUCUUCGGAUCGUAAACCUCUUUUAUCUGGGAACAAGUUCUGAGUGUACCAGAUGAAUAAGUGCCUGCCAACCACGUGCCAGAAGCAUCGGUAAUGCGUGGGGCACGAGCGUUAUCCGGAUUUACUGGGCGUAAAGAGAUGCGUAGGCGCCUUUUUAAGUCACUUGUAAAAUCUCCCCGCUCAACGGGGAAACUGCAAGUGGUACUGAAUUGGUUGAGUCAAGUAGAGGAGAGGGGAAUUCCUGGUGGAGCGGUUAAAUGCGUUGAUAUCAGGAGGAAUACCAAGUGCGAAGGCACCUCUCUGGACUUGUACUGACGCUAAGGCUCGAAAGUGUGGGGAGCAAAACGGAUUAGAUACCCGUGUAGUCCACACUGUAAACGAUCCCUGCUAGAUGUUUG